UGGGGAAUCUUAGACAAUGGGGGAAACCCUGAUCUAGCCAUGCCGCGUGGACGAUGAAGGCCUUAGGGUUGUAAAGUCCUUUCAGCUGGGAAGAUAAUGACGGUACCAGCAGAAGAAGCCCCGGCUAACUCCGUGCCAGCAGCCGCGGUAAUACGGAGGGGGCUAGCGUGGUUCGGAAUUACUGGGCGUAAAGCGCACGUAGGCGGAUUGAAAAGUUGGGGGUGAAAUCCCAGGGCUCAACCCUGGAACUGCCUUCAAAACUAUCAGUCUAGAGUUCGAGAGAGGUGAGUGGAAUUCCGAGUGUAGAGGUGAAAUUCGUAGAUAUUCGGAGGAACACCAGUGGCGAAGGCGGCUCACUGGCUCGAUACUGACGCUGAGGUGCGAAAGCGUGGGGAGCAAACA
Molecule: ribosomal RNA, 402 nt
Filed under: uncultured prokaryote
Description: bacterial SSU rRNA
Rfam family: Bacterial small subunit ribosomal RNA
Source: RNAcentral